UGCGUAGGCGGUUCGGUCAGUCUGGUGUGAAAUCCCACAGCUUAACUGUGGAACUGCCUUUGAGACUGCUAAUCUUGAGUACGGAAGAGAGAGAUGGAAUUCCAGGUGUAGUGGUGAAAUACGUAGAUAUCUGGAAGAACACCAGUGGCGAAGGCGAUCUCUUGGUCCUUUACUGACGCUAAGGCGCGAAAGCGUGGGGAGCAAACA
This 207-nucleotide ribosomal RNA is filed under the name uncultured bacterium. RNAcentral describes it as "partial 16S ribosomal RNA". It matches the Rfam family "Bacterial small subunit ribosomal RNA", at positions 568 to 774 of the family's 1533-position model. The record is from RNAcentral.